AUGAACGCUGGCGGCGUGCCUCAUACCUGCAAGUCGAGCGAACAGACGAGGAGCUUGCUCCUCUGACGUUAGCGGCGGACGGGUGAGUAACACGUGGAUAACCUACCUAUAAGACUGGGAUAACUUCGGGAAACCGGAGCUAAUACCGGAUAAUAUAUUGAACCGCAUGGUUCAAUAGUGAAAGACGGUUUUGCUGUCACUUAUAGAUGGAUCCGCGCCGCAUUAGCUAGUUGGUAAGGUAACGGCUUACCAAGGCAACGAUGCGUAGCCGACCUGAGAGGGUGAUCGGCCACACUGGAACUGAGACACGGUCCAGACUCCUACGGGAGGCAGCAGUAGGGAAUCUUCCGCAAUGGGCGAAAGCUUGACGGAGCAACGCCGCGUGGGUGAUGAAGGUCUUCGGAUCGUAAAACUCUGUUAUUAGGGAAGAACAAAUGUGUAAGUAACUAUGCACGUCUUGACGGUACCUAAUCAGAAAGCCACGGCUAACUACGUG
This 496-nucleotide ribosomal RNA is filed under the name uncultured bacterium. RNAcentral's name for it is "partial 16S ribosomal RNA". It matches the Rfam family "Bacterial small subunit ribosomal RNA", at positions 29 to 507 of the family's 1533-position model. The record is from RNAcentral.